Molecule: ribosomal RNA, 200 nt
Filed under: uncultured soil bacterium
Lineage: Bacteria
Description: partial 16S ribosomal RNA
Rfam family: Bacterial small subunit ribosomal RNA
Source: RNAcentral
AGAACGAACGCUGGCGGCAUGCCUAAUACAUGCAAGUCGAACGAACACUUCGGUGUUAGUGGCGCACGGGUGCGUAACGCGUGGGAAUCUGCCCUUGGGUUCGGAAUAACAGUUGGAAACGACUGCUAAUACCGGAUGAUAUCGAAAGAUCAAAGAUUUAUUGCCCAGGGAUGAGCCCGCGUAGGAUUAGCUAGUUGGUG